CCCAAGGAUGUAGAAGAAGACCCACCCUAGGGUGGGUCAUCACAUCAAAGUAUAAAAGGGGCCUCCCCUUUUAUACUUCAUCCCAGGAAGGACGAAUUCAUUCCAUUCUUGCGAGAAACUCCAGUCUUUGCCUUUGGUUUGGACCUGCCUCCUGGCUUCCAGUAUAGACUCUUCAGCUUUCCAGCGUAGACUCUUCAGCCUUUCAUCACAGAGCCUUCAGCCUUCUGUCACAAACCCAUCAGCCUGCUGGUGUGGACUUGCACAAGACACUAGGGUGAACUCCAGACCUUGGAUUGAAUCCUUCGGCUUCCAGUGCAUAGACACCUGCUGCAGGCUUCCUCAUCGGACUCUGUGACUGACUAUUGCAUAUGAUCAAGACAUUCCCUGUUCAAGGCCCACAAAGAAAAGGUUCCUGGUUGGGUGCCAGGAUGGAAGAUGAAGAAAUGAGGACAAGAGUUAGAAUACAGAAAGCUGAGGUGGGGUAGAACCCUCUUUCCUGGAGGGAGAAAAGGAACUGCCCAAUGACUGCAAGGCAUUGACUCUUACAAUCAGCAAGAAGUUGACAGCAGGUGCAACCUGAUUAGAAAAAUGUCCGGAGCCGCUUCCGUCCCGCGGAAUGGAGCACACGAACACUCAGCCUCUGCAAGCACCUUUAUUGACUGGGCAGCAACCUCAAUACAUGUCCGUCCUCGACGGCUUCUUCCGUGUUGUGCGUCGGGCACUUCCUAUACUUGGGCUUAUAUAGCUAAUGUUAUCCAAUCAUGGGAUUACACGGGACAGGCAAUUGGGCGGCAACAAGGAAGCAAUCAAUCAUUACCAUAUAUGGCGGGGACAGUAAGCCGAGCAAGAACCAGGAAGCAGGAUGUGUGUGCCAUCUUGGGCACACGAUGGGUGGGGGAGCAGCGGAGGCGGCAGGCGGGUGCCAUCUUAUGAAUAUGCUCUCAUGAAUAACAUGGCAGGCUCCC
This is a long non-coding RNA of Cavia porcellus (domestic guinea pig), 965 nucleotides long. RefSeq lists it as uncharacterized. Lineage: Eukaryota; Metazoa; Chordata; Mammalia; Rodentia; Caviidae. The record is from RefSeq and is a predicted model, not a curated record. The transcript has 3 exons.